ACGUAGGGUGCAAGCGUUGUCCGGAAUUAUUGGGCGUAAAGAGCUCGUAGGCGGUUUGUUGCGUCGGCUGUGAAAUCCCGAGGCUCAACCUCGGGUCUGCAGUCGAUACGAGCAAACUAGAGUGUUGCAGGGGAGACUGGAAUUCCUGGUGUAGCGGUGAAAUGCGUAGAUAUCAAGAGGAACACCUGCGGCGAAGGCGGGUUGCUGGGCCGACACUGACGCUGAGACGCGAAAGCCAGGGGAGCGAACGGGA
RNAcentral lists this ribosomal RNA (253 nucleotides) under uncultured prokaryote. Its description in RNAcentral is "partial 16S ribosomal RNA". It matches the Rfam family "Bacterial small subunit ribosomal RNA", at positions 525 to 777 of the family's 1533-position model. The record is from RNAcentral.